Molecule: non-coding RNA, 98 nt
Organism: Acanthosepion pharaonis
Lineage: Eukaryota; Metazoa; Mollusca; Cephalopoda; Sepiida; Sepiidae
Source: the annotation of a GenBank genome assembly
ACGGCCUCAUCUCGUUGAAACACUGGUUUCCGUACGAUCACCGAAGUUAAGCAACGUUGACCCUGAUGAGUAUCUAGAUAGGUGACUGCUUGGGAUGU